This 903-nucleotide ribosomal RNA is filed under the name uncultured bacterium. RNAcentral's name for it is "bacterial SSU rRNA". It matches the Rfam family "Bacterial small subunit ribosomal RNA", at positions 8 to 916 of the family's 1533-position model. The record is from RNAcentral.
AGAGUUUGAUCAUGGCUCAGGACGAACGCUGGCGGCGUGCUUAACACAUGCAAGUCGAACGGAGGUUACUUUGAAACUUAGUGAUAAGUAACCUUAGUGGCGGACGGGUGAGUAACGCGUGGAUAACCUGCCUACAUGCCUGGGACAACACCGGGAAACUGGUGCUAAUACCGGAUACGCUCGCGGAGGCACAUGCCUUUGUGAGGAAAGGAGCAAUCCGCAUAUAGAUGGGUCCGCGUCCCAUUAGCUAGUUGGGGGUGUAAAAGACCACCAAGGCGACGAUGGGUAGCCGGCCUGAGAGGGUGGACGGCCACACUGGAACUGAGACACGGUCCAGACUCCUACGGGAGGCAGCAGUGGGGAAUCUUCCGCAAUGGGCGCAAGCCUGACGGAGCAACGCCGCGUGAGUGAAGAAGGCCUUCGGGUUGUAAAGCUCUGUCUUCAGGGAAGAAAAAAAUGACGGUACCUGAGGAGGAAGCCCCGGCUAACUACGUGCCAGCAGCCGCGGUAAAACGUAGGGGGCGAGCGUUGUCCGGAAUUACUGGGCGUAAAGGGCGCGUAGGCGGUCAUUUAAGUCAGAGGUGAAAACUACCGGCUUAACCGGUAGCCUGCCUUUGAAACUGGAUGACUUGAGGGCAGGAGAGGGGAGUGGAAUUCCCAGUGUAGCGGUGAAAUGCGUAGAUAUUGGGAGGAACACCAGUGGCGAAAGCGGCUCUCUGGCCUGUUUCUGACGCUGAGGCGCGAAAGCGUGGGGAGCAAACGGGAUUAGAUACCCCGGUAGUCCACGCCGUAAACGAUGGGUGCUAGUGUAGGAGGUAUCGACCCCUUCUGUGCCGUAGUUUACACAAUAAGCACCCCGCCUGGGGAGUACGGCGCAAGGUUGAUACUCAAAGGAAUUGACGG